UACGGGGGGGGCAAGCGUUGUUCGGAAUUACUGGGCGUAAAGGGCUCGUAGGCGGCCCUCUCAGUCGGAUGUGAAAUCCCCAGGCUUAACCUGGGAACGGCAUCCGAUACUGGAGGGCUUGAAUUCGGGAGAGGGAUGCAGAAUUCCAGGUGUAGCGGUGAAAUGCGUAGAUAUCUGGAGGAACACCGGUGGCGAAGGCGGCAUCCUGGACCGGUAUUGACGCUGAGGCGCGAAAGCCAGGGGAGCAAACGGG
RNAcentral lists this ribosomal RNA (253 nucleotides) under uncultured bacterium. RNAcentral describes it as "partial 16S ribosomal RNA". It matches the Rfam family "Bacterial small subunit ribosomal RNA", at positions 524 to 776 of the family's 1533-position model. The record is from RNAcentral.